Molecule: long non-coding RNA, 1370 nt
Organism: Gorilla gorilla gorilla (western lowland gorilla)
Lineage: Eukaryota; Metazoa; Chordata; Mammalia; Primates; Hominidae
Exons: 3
Source: RefSeq, a predicted model, not a curated record
GAUUUCAAGUCUUCCAACAACUGUUUUUGGGUGGGAGUAGUCAGGAGUCUGUGCUGUGGUUGAAGCCCAGGUUGGCCGUCGGGAGCUGAAAUAGAGGCCAGGACUCCUGGCUCCCCGUCCAGACUCUGAGGACCCAGGAGCCUCCAUGGGUACACUCAGAGGCCACACUAGAUGCAAAAAGAGCCAUUUACAGAGAAGUGAGAGGGUCUCAAAGGCUGAACCAAAUGCCUCUGCCAGGAGAAUCUUUCAGAGUGUCCUGGAACAUUGGAAAUAGGCUUAAAGCUUAAAUGAUGAAUCAGAAGAGUUAUGCUGUAUUCUAAUGCUGCCACUAGCUCAAACCUUAGGCCAUCAUCAAGGUUCUGCACCAGAACCAAGUUGUCCACCGACAGCUUUCCUGAGUGACUUCGGGCUGCACUAUUGUAAUUCUUCAGAAAGUGUAUACACAUGGUAGCCAAAGAGCCUGGGCCCUGGAGCCGGACCACCUGGAGUCAAAUCCUAGCUCUGCUACUUAGGAGCUGCUGGUUAGUUAACCUUUCUAUGGCUCAGAUUCACCGUGUGUAAAAUGGAUUGUAAGAGUGGCUACUUGGUAAGAUUGUUGUGAAGUUUAAUAUAUGUGUUAAUAUAUGAAAACACAUGGAAGAGCUCCAGGUACAUAGUAAGUGCUCUGUAAAUAUCAUCUAUUAUUAUUAUUGCAACUACAUUUCACACGUUUUAAAUAAAUCUUAGGAAUUAAAUUGUUUCGUGCAUGUAGAUAAUGUCUCCCCAAGUAAACAGCAAGGAUCUUCACUAUUUUCUAUGAUUUUAUGUCCUGGCAAGGGAAUUCAAAGCAUUACAGCAGCUAUUCCUAAACAAACAAACAAACAAACCUAUUCUAAACAAACACCUGAAGACAGUAAGGGAGGCCUUACCUGGUGCACUGCAACUUUAAACCAUUUUAGUUUAUUUUAGGCAAAUAAAGAGAAUUAUGACACAAAUAAACAUAAUAAAGACCCUGCAGCUGCAGCCACUGGCUUCUCCUUAAUGUCUUGGUUUCUUUCUGACUCUUUGUAGAUGAAUUCUAAGAGUUGGGAAUGAGAAUUUCUAAUGGAUUUACUGACACUACUUUAUAUAAUUCAAUACAUAAUAAAAUGAAAAUCUUUUGAAAAUGCAUAUGAGUGCCAUCAUGUUGAGGCAGUUAUUGCAGGAAAGGCGAGAAAGUAAAAACUAUGUGUGGAAUAAAAGGAUAAAAUAUUCUUAUUUCAUCAGCUUACCUUUUGACUCCUUUAUAUUGUGAGUUCCAAAUAUGGUCAAGAUGAAAUGUGUUUAUUUUGCCUUGAACCUUCUCACUAAUGUACCAAAGGGACAUUUCAUGAAAGCUAAGAAGUACGAAU